This 22-nucleotide microRNA is filed under the name Patiria miniata (bat star). RNAcentral's name for it is "Pmi-Mir-31-P4_3p* (star (passenger))". Lineage: Eukaryota; Metazoa; Echinodermata; Asteroidea; Valvatida; Asterinidae. The record is from RNAcentral.
GCUGUACCUACAUAUUGCCAUU